AUCCCAGUUCGGAUUGCAGGCUGAAACCCGCCUGCAUGAAGUUGGAAUCGCUAGUAAUCGCGGAUCAGCAUGCCGCGGUGAAUACGUUCCCGGGCCUUGUACACACCGCCCGUCACACCAUGAGAGUUGGGAAUACCCGAAGCCCGUGAGCUAACCGAAAGGGAGCAGCGGUCGAAGGUAGAAUCAAUGAUUGGGGUGAAGUCGUAACAAGGUAGC
Molecule: ribosomal RNA, 216 nt
Filed under: uncultured bacterium
Lineage: Bacteria
Description: partial 16S ribosomal RNA
Rfam family: Bacterial small subunit ribosomal RNA
Source: RNAcentral